GAUGAACGCUGGCGGCAUGCUUUACACAUGCAAGUCGAACGGUAACAGGCCGCAAGGUGCUGACGAGUGGCGAACGGGUGAGUAAUGCAUCGGAACGUGCCCAGUCGCGGGGGAUAACGCAGCGAAAGCUGCGCUAAUACCGCAUACGAUCUCUGGAUGAAAGCGGGGGACCGAAAGGCCUCGCGCGAUUGGAGCGGCCGAUGUCAGGUUAGGUAGUUGGUGGGGUAAAGGCCCACCAAGCCAACGAUCUGUAGCUGGUCUGAGAGGACGACCAGCCACACUGGGACUGAGACACGGCCCAGACUCCUACGGGAGGCAGCAGUGGGGAAUUUUGGACAAUGGGCGCAAGCCUGAUCCAGCAAUGCCGCGUGCAGGAAGAAGGCCUUCGGGUUGUAAACUGCUUUUGUACGGAACGAAACGGUCCGGGUUAAUACCCUGGGCUAAUGACGGUACCGUAAGAAUAAGCACCGGCUAACUACGUGCCAGCCGCCGCGGUAA
RNAcentral lists this ribosomal RNA (498 nucleotides) under uncultured bacterium. RNAcentral's name for it is "partial 16S ribosomal RNA". It matches the Rfam family "Bacterial small subunit ribosomal RNA", at positions 28 to 523 of the family's 1533-position model. The record is from RNAcentral.